UACGUAGGUGGCAAGCGUUGUCCGGAUUUACUGGGCGUAAAGAGCGCGCAGGCGGUCGUUCAAGUCGCGUGUGGAAGCCCCCGGCUCAACUGGGGAGGGUCACGCGAUACUGAUCGACUCGAAGGCAGGAGAGGGUAGUGGAAUUCCCGGUGUAGUGGUGAAAUGCGUAGAUAUCGGGAGGAACACCAGUGGCGAAGGCGACUACCUGGCCUGUUCUUGACGCUGAGGCGCGAAAGCUAGGGGAGCAAACGGA
RNAcentral lists this ribosomal RNA (253 nucleotides) under uncultured bacterium. RNAcentral's name for it is "partial 16S ribosomal RNA". It matches the Rfam family "Bacterial small subunit ribosomal RNA", at positions 524 to 776 of the family's 1533-position model. The record is from RNAcentral.